ACCUUAUUAGCUCAACGGCAGAGCUGAAUUGUUUUAAUAUUCAGACCUUAGUUCGACUCUAGGGUAAGGUA
RNAcentral lists this transfer RNA (71 nucleotides) under Emericellopsis fuci. RNAcentral's name for it is "Acremonium fuci tRNA-Lys". It matches the Rfam family "tRNA". From Rfam's summary of the family: Transfer RNA (tRNA) molecules are approximately 80 nucleotides in length. Their secondary structure includes four short double-helical elements and three loops (D, anti-codon, and T loops). The record is from RNAcentral. Lineage: Eukaryota; Fungi; Ascomycota; Sordariomycetes; Hypocreales; Bionectriaceae.